Molecule: ribosomal RNA, 779 nt
Filed under: Bacillus sp. 91B
Lineage: Bacteria; Bacillati; Bacillota; Bacilli; Caryophanales; Bacillaceae
Description: bacterial SSU rRNA
Rfam family: Bacterial small subunit ribosomal RNA
Source: RNAcentral
UGACGGACACUNCCCGUGAGUGAUGAAGGUUUUCGGAUCGUAAAGCUCUGUUGUUAGGGAAGAACAAGUACCGUUCGAAUAGGGCGGUACCUUGACGGUACCUAACCAGAAAGCCACGGCUAACUACGUGCCAGCAGCCGCGGUAAUACGUAGGUGGCAAGCGUUGUCCGGAAUUAUUGGGCGUAAAGGGCUCGCAGGCGGUUUCUUAAGUCUGAUGUGAAAGCCCCCGGCUCAACCGGGGAGGGUCAUUGGAAACUGGGGAACUUGAGUGCAGAAGAGGAGAGUGGAAUUCCACGUGUAGCGGUGAAAUGCGUAGAGAUGUGGAGGAACACCAGUGGCGAAGGCGACUCUCUGGUCUGUAACUGACGCUGAGGAGCGAAAGCGUGGGGAGCGAACAGGAUUAGAUACCCUGGUAGUCCACGCCGUAAACGAUGAGUGCUAAGUGUUAGGGGGUUUCCGCCCCUUAGUGCUGCAGCUAACGCAUUAAGCACUCCGCCUGGGGAGUACGGUCGCAAGACUGAAACUCAAAGGAAUUGACGGGGGCCCGCACAAGCGGUGGAGCAUGUGGUUUAAUUCGAAGCAACGCGAAGAACCUUACCAGGUCUUGACAUCCUCUGACAAUCCUAGAGAUAGGACGUCCCCUUCGGGGGCAGAGUGACAGGUGGUGCAUGGUUGUCGUCAGCUCGUGUCGUGAGAUGUUGGGUUAAGUCCCGCAACGAGCGCACCCUUGAUCUUAGUUGCCAGCAUUCAGUUGGGCACUCUAAGGUGACUGCCGGUGA